Molecule: small nuclear RNA, 175 nt
Filed under: Triticum aestivum (bread wheat)
Lineage: Eukaryota; Viridiplantae; Streptophyta; Magnoliopsida; Poales; Poaceae
Description: snRNA U1
Rfam family: U1 spliceosomal RNA
About the family: U1 is a small nuclear RNA (snRNA) component of the spliceosome (involved in pre-mRNA splicing). Its 5' end forms complementary base pairs with the 5' splice junction, thus defining the 5' donor site of an intron.
Source: RNAcentral
UCAUUCCCGUGGCGCGGCGAGCGAGGAGGAGGAGCGUGCGUGUAGGUCUCCUCUUCCCAUGCUCAUACAUGUGACCCACAUUGCACUUGGUGGGUGCGCCGGCCUAUCAUCUCCCCAAGUGGGAGAGUGAGUGUCAUAAUUUGUGGUAGAGGGGUAUGCAUUCGUGCAGCCUUUG